Molecule: long non-coding RNA, 280 nt
Filed under: Rattus norvegicus (Norway rat)
Lineage: Eukaryota; Metazoa; Chordata; Mammalia; Rodentia; Muridae
Description: long non-coding RNA NONRATT032613
Source: RNAcentral
CCUUGAAGUAAAUCUAUCACAUGAAUUUAUUUAGAUCACAGCCGUGUCCUCUUUGAUCUGAGCCAGUGAUCGUGGCGAAAGCGACCCAACCCGACCCUUCAAGCCCGAGGGAAGGAUGCUGCUGGUUACUUUCCAAAAGCUGUCUUCCUGUUUGUGGUUAAUUGGCCCAGAGGAGAAGCUGGAGACAAUGACAGUUCCGUGUGUAGACCCGAGAGAUACGGUCAUCGGCACUUCGAUUUGUAAGUUAUUAAGAUGGAGGAGGAGGUUGCAGAGAGCCUGA